Molecule: transfer-messenger RNA, 327 nt
Filed under: uncultured Ruminococcus sp.
Lineage: Bacteria; Bacillati; Bacillota; Clostridia; Eubacteriales; Oscillospiraceae
Rfam family: transfer-messenger RNA
About the family: Bacterial tmRNA, also known as 10Sa RNA or SsrA, is named for its dual tRNA and mRNA-like properties. Its role is to liberate the mRNA from a stalled ribosome. To accomplish this part of the tmRNA is used as a reading frame that ends in a translation stop signal.
Source: RNAcentral
UUUCGACGGGGACGGCGAAUCCGGAUAAGCGAGUAGCGGUGAGGCGCCGCUAUAAAAGCCUCAACUUCAAAAUAAACGACAAGAAUACAGUCGCUCUCGCUGCUUGAUGCAGCCGCCGACCGGAGAGUACCGCGGCUCCGGAGCCGGCGUCGACAGCGGUUCCUGUGAACGGCGCACGCCUUUAGGCCGUCACACAUCAAAGGCUACUGAAGCGUGAAGCCUGUUAUUGGGCGCCACGCAGAGGGAAUGUCAAAGCAAUAACUGCACUCGGAGAAAAUCCGGUGGAACUGUUUUCGGACGCGGGUUCAAUUCCCGCCAUCUCCACCA